This 441-nucleotide ribosomal RNA is filed under the name uncultured bacterium. RNAcentral describes it as "partial 16S ribosomal RNA". It matches the Rfam family "Bacterial small subunit ribosomal RNA", at positions 339 to 795 of the family's 1533-position model. The record is from RNAcentral.
CUACGGGGGGCUGCAGUGGGGAAUAUUGGGCAAUGGGCGCAAGCCUGACCCAGCAACGCCGCGUGAGGGAAGAAGGUUUUCGGAUUGUAAACCUCUGUCCUUGGGGACGAAGAAGUGACGGUACCCAAGGAGGAAGCUCCGGCUAACUACGUGCCAGCAGCCGCGGUAAUACGUAGGGAGCAAGCGUUGUCCGGAAUUACUGGGCGUAAAGGGUGCGUAGGCGGCAUAUUAAGUCAGGUGUGAAAUACUCGGGCUCAACCCGGGGGCUGCAUUUGAAACUGAUAUGCUUGAGUGUGAGAGAGGAAAGUGGAAUUCCUAGUGUAGCGGUGGAAUGCGUAGAUAUUAGGAGGAACACCAGUGGCGAAGGCGACUUUCUGGCUCAUAACUGACGCUGGGGCACGAAAGCGUGGGGAGCAAACAGGAUUAGAUACCCGCGUAGUC